This 468-nucleotide ribosomal RNA is filed under the name uncultured bacterium. RNAcentral's name for it is "partial 16S ribosomal RNA". It matches the Rfam family "Bacterial small subunit ribosomal RNA", at positions 28 to 507 of the family's 1533-position model. The record is from RNAcentral.
GACGAACGCUGGCGGCGUGCUUAACACAUGCAAGUCGAACGGAAAGGCCCUGCUUUUGUGGGGUGCUCGAGUGGCGAACGGGUGAGUAACACGUGAGUAACCUGCCCUUGACUUUGGGAUAACUUCAGGAAACUGGGGCUAAUACCGGAUAGGAGCUCCUGCUGCAUGGUGGGGGUUGGAAAGUUUCGGCGGUUGGGGAUGGACUCGCGGCUUAUCAGCUUGUUGGUGGGGUAGUGGCUUACCAAGGCUUUGACGGGUAGCCGGCCUGAGAGGGUGACCGGCCACAUUGGGACUGAGAUACGGCCCAGACGCCUACGGGAGGCAGCAGUGGGGAAUAUUGCAAAGUGGGCGGAAGCCUGAUGCAGCAACGCCGCGUGCGGGAUGACGGCCUUCGGGUUGUAAACCGCUUUCGCCUGUGACGAAGCGGGAGUGGCGGUAAUGGGUAAAGAAGCACCGGCUAACUACGUG